CUACGGGACGCUGCAGCGAGGAAUAUUGCACAAUGGGGGGAACCCUGAUGCAGCAACGCCGCGUGGAGGAUGACGCAUUUCGGUGUGUAAACUCCUUUUAUAUGUCAAGAAAAUGACGGUAGCAUAUGAAUAAGCACCGGCUAACUCCGUGCCAGCAGCCGCGGUAAUACGGAGGGUGCAAGCGUUACUCGGAAUCACUGGGCGUAAAGGACGCGUAGGCGGGUUGGAAAGUCAGGUGUGAAAUCCUACAGCUUAACUGUAGAACUGCACUUGAAACUUCUAAUCUAGAGUAUGGGAGGGUGAGAUGGAAUUAGUGGUGUAGGGGUAAAAUCCGUAGAUAUCACUAGGAAUACCUAAAGCGAAGGCGAUCUCCUGGAACAUUACUGACGCUAAGGCGUGAAAGCGUGGGGAGCAAACAGGAUUAGAUACCCCUGUAGUC
This 439-nucleotide ribosomal RNA is filed under the name uncultured bacterium. RNAcentral describes it as "partial 16S ribosomal RNA". It matches the Rfam family "Bacterial small subunit ribosomal RNA", at positions 339 to 795 of the family's 1533-position model. The record is from RNAcentral.